GUAGGUGAACCUGCGGAAGGAUCAUUAGUGAAUAUUAGCGCAUCUCUUCGGAGAGCGUGACCUCCACUUUCUAACUCUGUGCAUUUAUUUGGCGGGAAACUAUGUAGAUCAGUAGUAAUACUCGAACUACAUGUUUCCUGCGGCUCAUUUUAUAACACUAGUUAAAGUAUGUAACGAAAUAUCGAAACAAAAAAAAACUUUCAACAACGGAUCUCUUGGCUUGC
RNAcentral lists this unclassified non-coding RNA (224 nucleotides) under rhizosphere metagenome. RNAcentral's name for it is "partial ribosomal RNA internal transcribed spacer region". The record is from RNAcentral.